This is a long non-coding RNA of Molossus molossus (Pallas's mastiff bat), 319 nucleotides long. RefSeq lists it as uncharacterized. The record is from RefSeq and is a predicted model, not a curated record. NCBI's taxonomy places the organism in Eukaryota, Metazoa, Chordata, Mammalia, Chiroptera, Molossidae. The transcript has 3 exons.
UGUGACCAUGGAGGCAGAGAUGGCAGUGAUGCAGCUACAAGCCAAGGAACGCCAGGAUUGCCGAGGGCUACCAGAAGCUAGGAAGGGACAGUGAAGGUUUAUACCCUCGAGUCUUCAGAGGGAGCCUGCCUGGCCUGCACCUGGCUUCCAGAAUGGUGUCCUCUCCGAGUCUGUUUCCAGGCUUCCCUCUCAGCAGACACCAUUAUACUGGGGCAGGGCCACCCUAGUGACCUUGUUGGGACUUGAUUCCAUCUGCAAGAUCCUCAUCUCCAAAUAAGAUCGCAUUUGAUGCCUUUUCUCUGUCCAGAAGAGCCUAAAC